This 554-nucleotide ribosomal RNA is filed under the name uncultured archaeon. RNAcentral describes it as "bacterial SSU rRNA". It matches the Rfam family "Archaeal small subunit ribosomal RNA", at positions 348 to 907 of the family's 1478-position model. The record is from RNAcentral.
UUCUGCAAUGCGCGCAAGCGUGACAGAGCGACUCCAAGUGCUCAUGUAUUACAUGGGCUUUUGCCAAGUGUAAACGGCUUGGCGAAUAAGGGGUGGGCAAGACCGGUGGCAGCAGCCGCGGUAAUACCGGCGCCCCAAGUGGUGUUCAUAUUUACUGGGCCUAAAGCGUUCGUAGCCGGUUUAGUAAGUCUCCGGUGAAAUCCUUGCGUAUAACGUAAGGGCGUGCCAGAGAUACUGCUAAGCUAGGAACCGGGAGACGUGUGAGGUAUUUCUGGGGUAGGAGUAAAAUCCUGUAAUCCUAGGAGGACCACCGGUGGCGAAGGCGUCACACGAGAACGGGUUCGACGGUGAGGGACGAAAGCUAGGGGAUCAAACGGGAUUAGAUACCCCGGUAGUCCUAGCUGUAAACGCUGCUUGCUAGGUGUUGCACGUUCUUCGAGAGCGUGCAGUGCCGGAGCGAAGGCAUUAAGCAAGCCGCCUGGGAAGUACGGUCGCAAGGCUGAAACUUAAAGGAAUUGGCGGGGGAGCACAAGCCGAAUUCCCGCACACUAAGG